GUUUUUUUCUCUUUUGUCUUCCACUUACAAGGCUUUAUGUCAUUCUAAUAGAAUAGAGUUUUUGAUAUAAAUACUUUACUUUUAAAAUUGUCCAUAUAUAGUUCAGGGAAUAAAUGUCCUAAAUAUUAUUCCACCCAAGCUCUCUUUUUAUUUUUUAUUAUUUUCUCUUAUUUUUUAAUCUCCUCCUUUUCCCUUUUUAAUUUUUUCUCCUUUUUUUCCCCCUCUCUUUCUGCAAGUACAUAAAAAGAAUCAGGCACUUCCUGCUAUCCCUAAGCACAAAUUUAGUUCCUAGUUUAGCAACUCUAACGUAUUCAGGAAGGAAGGAAUAAUCUUUCUGAGGCUGUAGUGUUUUUACAGUGGCUGUAGUAGCUGUAGCUCAGAUUGUAGUUCCAUACUGCAGGAAUUGUGUAAUGUUUGAUCUUUGGAAGUAAUAAGGAACAGGCCCAUUCAUAGGUGAGAAUAAUAUGCAUUGUGCAGUACAGUGAAGCAGACAAAUGUUCCUGCAUAGAGGAGACUACCAUCUGGUAGAAUAAAACCAUUCAUAUUAGCCACAAAAUUCACUGAAUAACAAUAAUUUUUUUCCAAAAUAAACCCCUCCUUUUUCUGGCUAGGAUAAAGUAAGACUGAUUAGGUAUCACUUGUAAAAGGUGAAUUUUAUGAAAGAAGAGGAUGUAAGUGCUCUAGAGGAGAAGGAUUUGCAGGAGAAGCAUGAUAAGAUAAAGAUUUGUCUAAAAUAGGACUGGGAAAUGGCUAAGUGGGAACUGUGAGCUGAGUGUGUGGGAGGAAAGCAGGCAAGCAUUCAUUUCACCAAACAUUAAGAACAGAAAAAAGGCACGGGUGGAGAGCAGAUUUCUUUUUGUUACUCUGCUUUAAAUUGACCUGCUGAUUUCAGUUCCUGCAGGGCAUUAAGACUGUGUUCAGUGGGCUUUUAAUUUAUCAACCAGCCUGUUGUGAAUAGUUGCUAUCUGUUCUUUCUUCUAACUACUCUCUUUACCUCACCAAAAAAACCCAAGUGACAACCAGCCUGAUUCACCUUUCAAUUUAAGAAGAUUCUACCUGAUUUAGAUCCAGCUGCUUUGCUUUAAAGGUAUCAGCUGUUAACUUUAAGCAGCACACUGAAGGGUUGCUCUAGCUUUCACCUGUGAGCAGUCAGGUCCAACCUGCCCUCAUAAAAGCCCUCUCCUGGCUCCCAUGGCAGCAGAUGUGAGGACAGAGUAGCAUGGAGUGGGUCACACUGUCGGUGCGGGAGGGAAACAGCUGCCUGGUAAAGCAGCUUUUUGUGGAGUAUAUCAAGUUCUGGCCCUGUUUUGCCAUAAAUUAGCUGGUUUAAUAAACAUUCCCGGCAGCCUUCAGUAAACAGACUGUUUCAUGCUUGAACUUACUAACAUGCUCUUAUCUUUGCUAUAAAAUGUAUAUAAUCAUGAGAGAUUUCCGAGUGGCAGAGUGGAUUUGUGAAAACAUCCGCAUAAUGUUUUUCCACUUGCUUUCAGCUCCGUUCAUGGAUUUGCUGGCUGAGACAGUGUUUGGAGUAAAGUCACAUGAUCAAUCUGCAUUUUCUUGCAGUCUUCCUGAGCUUUUGCACCAUUCUUUUUCAUACCAGCUUCAGCAGGAACAUUUGAAAGAGUUGGCUUCUCUGUGCUACCUUGACCUGGACUUGGGCUCCAGAGGGAAAAUAUUUGCAGUUUUUACCUUGCACCGAGCCUGCUGUUCCUGAUUGUAGGAACUGAGGGAUGACAAGCUUAGGACAAAGCACAAGGACCACAAAGGCCAGUGAUGAUAACCAUGUGAAAAACAGAGGAGCCAGAAGGAAUAGGGAAGAGAUAAAGGGGCACAAUAAGAAGUGUACUGGGAUAUUAUGCAGCUCUUCGGGAAACAAUCACAGAUGUUAAGCAGCUCAUUCGGAAGGAACAAAUCUCUCCAUAACACAAGACUUGAUCAAAAUCAGCCUGAAUGUGAGUGUGGCUACCUGAGCAUGGGUUGUGUGUGUCUCUGCAGUGCAGAGGCUUGAAGGCAGGUUUGCCACCAGCACACAGGAGCUGGGACACAGCGAUGCACAAGUAACCUUGGUGACAGAGGCAGGACUGAAACAGCGAAUUCACAGCUCCCUGCUCUGUGCUCAGACCCCCAGACUCCGUUCUCUGUAUGUUUAUCAGCAGUGAUGGAAUACAAGUCACUGCUGCAGGCAGCAACGCUCUGUGCUCACCCUACUCCUUAUACUCCUUCCUUAGGCAUUCAUUUCUGACUAUGACCAGAGAUUGGAUAAAGGGACCCACAGGCCUUUGGUUUAGCCCAGUGUAGUCAUUCUAGUUUCCAUGAUGCCAAAUGAAGCCUUCAUCUAACCUAAAUAAAGAACAGGAUGUGGCACUGUUAGUUUCUUUGUUUAUAGUGUCUUAAUAAAUUCUAGAACAAAUGUACUCAAUUUGGAUGCAAAAGAACAUUCUCUUACUGUCAGCUCUACAAGCUAGUCUUGAAAACUGAGAGUCACUGAAUUCUUUUUGUCCUGUACAUCAAUGCAAAGAAAGCUGUAGAGACAAAACCUGUAAAUUUCUUCUGCAGUAGCUCUUCCCUGCCUCAGCACCGUCUGCAAUUCCUACCUUCAGCAGAUUUAUGAAAUGUCUCAGCUGAAUAAAAUUAUAUUGUAACUGAUAUAGGAGAAGGAUUGGAAUUAAUUUCAUUGUUAUUACAGUGAAAUGAAAUUAGUUAUAUUGACAACUGAGUUUUGAAGGGAGCAAAAGCUGCAAUAUUUUUAUACCCAUGUUAGUAAAAUAACUUGAUAAUCCUGAUAUGCUGUAUAGAAAAAUUAUUUUUGUAUGAUACUGUUUCACAAAAUAAUGUAAAUAUAUGGAUUGCAUAGGUGUUUAUAGGCACAGAAUUUGUUCACAAUAAAUAAUCUGUGAUCUUAUUUUGUUUCAGAAAAAUUCCAGUUUAUCUUCAUUUUAUUCAUUUGCUUUGUGCUACCUAAGUUUGCCAUAAUAAAGACUCUUGGGGUUCUAAUUAGUGAUUUUUCUGGAACA
Non-coding RNA from Taeniopygia guttata (zebra finch), 3014 nucleotides. The record is from RefSeq and is a predicted model, not a curated record. Lineage: Eukaryota; Metazoa; Chordata; Aves; Passeriformes; Estrildidae.